GAAUGCUGCUACCGUUUCCCACUUCUGUUGGUGUCUGGUCAGUAGUAGCCCCCCAACCCACCGACUCUUUAGGCUCGGAGCCAGUGCUACCCAGCAGAGAUGCAAGACAUCAUUAUUAUCAUUGACGAACACAGAAUAUUAUAUUUCGACACGGAGGCAUCUUUCGUCUGGAUGCUGGACUGGGAAUGAGGUUGUCUGCUCGUUCAUCAGACCCCGUGAGCAGCUGUCAGAGGAUGCGUCCGAUCCUGAUAAUCCGCUAAUUCAUCCCGCCUGCCUCACCAUCCGACCCACCCACCCCUCUGGCAGAUCUACUUGGACUAUAAACAUGCCAGACCGCUAACCCAAACAGAGCAGGCCGCCAAGAAACAUUUUAGGGGAAACGGUUUAGAAAAUCACCAGCGCAUCCAAGGCAGGGUGCCUGGUGCGUCUGUGUGUGUCACCCACACACACCCACACACACACGCAGGCUACCACUGGGCACACAGCUGGUCUGUAAAUCUCACACCUCUGGUUGUAAAAAAACAAUAUCGACAACAUUUGUGGUUAUGGCAUGUUGGAAGUGACGUGUUACUGGGACAAACCAGUUAGGGUACUGGUCCAGUUGGGACUUUCUGUAGUAAGAUACCCAUGUGGGUCUGCAGUUUGGUGAUGAUAAAAAUUUGGGAGAGGGUGCAAACAGAGGGUGCGGUGUGUCAGAGAGGCAGUGAGGAAAAGCAGCUUCACUGGCUGCAUGACUGUUGCCUUUUAUUUAGUGUGUGACAUGACUCAGGGUCUGUCUCUGGGUCAGGAGGAUCAGUGCGGGGGGGGGGGAGCUUGGCUGCUUGGGCUGCUGGGAGCCAUGUGUUUUCUUAGCUUUGCACUUUAUUAGGUAUGGCAGUUCACAUAGCCAUGGAGUCGCUUCCACUCGUAUGCUUUGUGAGGUUUUCACCUGGGCAGCCGAACAAGAUGGCGGAUGGGAGAGUAUUCUGAAUGUAAAUGUGCGGGGUGGAGUGGACGCCGGGGUUGCCCCAUGUAGACCGGAGCGGGACGGGAGCACGGCGGGCAGCUGGCUUGGAUCUGUCCACGGUUUAUAGAGCACCCACGGUCUGGGGGCAGCGGCCGGACCUCCCCUCGCAGACGAGGAAAGCCGAAAGGAGGCGCAGGAAAGGAGGGUGGCCUUCAAAUCUCCUCAGACACAUUCCUGGGAUUUUCGGAGCGAUAGCGGCCUGGAUGCUGCGGACCUGUUGUUGCCGCUGACGGCGGGCAGACAGGCUCCUCGUUUGGCACCCGAGCGCGAAAGCCGGCUACCCUAAAGCCAGGAACCACGCCCCUGUCAGUGCCUGGUGCCCAGGUCGUGACGAAGACCAUGCCCCCCCCCUCCCCAGCUGCCUACAUCGCGGAACCGGUUCCGAGCGGAUGCUGGAACUGCUGACAUGUUGCUAGGAGAUGCCAGGUUCGAGCGGAGAUUCCCAAUCCCCACGGACUGCCCAGGGGAAGCCAGUUUAUUCCCAUGCUUUUAAAUUCCCUUCUGUGGAGAUUAAAGGACUGACAGGCUGGCUGCCCGGUGGCAUGUGUCAGUAGGCCUGAGACCCAGACUGGAAACACCGUUUACCAAAGAUCCCUCAUUAACCAAUGACAGCCGAUAGGCAAAGAUGCUAACAGCAUUAGCGUUCUUUGUAGGGCUUGCUUACGGAAAUUAGCAUGUCUAAAAAUACAUCCUUUCUCAGUGCAUAUCUUCCUGAACACCUGGGUGUGUUAUUUUUAUACUCAGAAUGGGGAUUGCAGAUGUACGUCCACGUGGCAGAGUGCGAGGCAGCCGGAGAUGGUCAGGACGCGGCCUGCUCAAUUCUCUAGCUCAAACUCCCCCUGACACAGU
This is a long non-coding RNA of Brienomyrus brachyistius, 1855 nucleotides long. RefSeq lists it as uncharacterized. The transcript has 4 exons. The record is from RefSeq and is a predicted model, not a curated record. Lineage: Eukaryota; Metazoa; Chordata; Actinopteri; Osteoglossiformes; Mormyridae.